GGCCCUAAAGCUCAGUGGUAGAGCGCUAGUCUUGAAAAAAAGAGGUCUUUCAGUUCGAUUCUUGUUGGGGGCU
RNAcentral lists this transfer RNA (73 nucleotides) under Helianthus annuus (common sunflower). Its description in RNAcentral is "tRNA HanXRQr2_Chr15g0699431". Lineage: Eukaryota; Viridiplantae; Streptophyta; Magnoliopsida; Asterales; Asteraceae. The record is from RNAcentral.